This 254-nucleotide ribosomal RNA is filed under the name uncultured bacterium. RNAcentral describes it as "partial 16S ribosomal RNA". It matches the Rfam family "Bacterial small subunit ribosomal RNA", at positions 524 to 776 of the family's 1533-position model. The record is from RNAcentral.
UACGUAGGGGGGCAAGCGUUGUCCGGAAUUAUUGGGCGUAAAGGGCUCGUAGGCGGUUUAUCGCGUCGGGAGUGAAAACAUCUGGCUUAACUGGGUGCUUGCUUUCGAUACGGGCAGACUGGAGGUAUGCAGGGGAGAACGGAAUUCCUGGUGUAGCGGUGAAAUGCGCAGAUAUCAGGAGGAACACCGGUGGCGAAGGCGGGUCUCUGGGCCGAAACUGACGCUGAGGAGCGAAAGCGUGGGGAGCGAACAGG